RNAcentral lists this ribosomal RNA (498 nucleotides) under uncultured bacterium. RNAcentral describes it as "partial 16S ribosomal RNA". It matches the Rfam family "Bacterial small subunit ribosomal RNA", at positions 28 to 507 of the family's 1533-position model. The record is from RNAcentral.
GAUGAACGCUGGCGGCGUGCCUAAUACAUGCAAGUCGAGCGAACGGACGAGAAGCUUGCUUCUCUGAUGUUAGCGGCGGACGGGGUGAGUAACACGUGGAUAACCUACCUAUAAGACUGGGAUAACUUCGGGAAACCGGAGCUAAUACCGGAUAAUAUUUUGAACCGCAUGGUUCAAAAGUGAAAGACGGUCUUGCUGUCACUUAUAGAUGGAUCCGCGCUGCAUUAGCUAGUUGGUAAGGUAACGGCUUACCAAGGCAACGAUGCAUAGCCGACCUGAGAGGGUGAUCGGCCACACUGGAACUGAGACACGGUCCAGACUCCUACGGGAGGCAGCAGUAGGGAAUCUUCCGCAAUGGGCGAAAGCCUGACGGAGCAACGCCGCGUGAGUGAUGAAGGUCUUCGGAUCGUAAAACUCUGUUAUUAGGGAAGAACAUAUGUGUAAGUAACUGUGCACAUCUUGACGGUACCUAAUCAGAAAGCCACGGCUAACUACGUG